Mycena filopes is the source of this 75-nucleotide non-coding RNA. The record is from the annotation of a GenBank genome assembly. Lineage: Eukaryota; Fungi; Basidiomycota; Agaricomycetes; Agaricales; Mycenaceae.
GUGUGCUUGGUGUAACGGUAACACACAGCACUUGAUAUAAUCGCUGAGUAUGGGGUUCGACUCCCCGAGCCCGCC